RNAcentral lists this transfer RNA (74 nucleotides) under Chloroflexi bacterium GWB2_54_36. RNAcentral describes it as "tRNA-Val". It matches the Rfam family "tRNA". From Rfam's summary of the family: Transfer RNA (tRNA) molecules are approximately 80 nucleotides in length. The record is from RNAcentral. RNAcentral also lists the same sequence under 3 other names. Lineage: Bacteria; Bacillati; Chloroflexota.
GGGAGGGUAGCUCAGUUGGUUAGAGCGCGUCGCUUACACCGACGAUGUCGCAGGUUCGAGUCCUGUCCUUCCCA